UACGGAGGGUGCGAGCGUUAAUCGGAAUUACUGGGCGUAAAGCGCACGCAGGCGGNUUGUUAAGCUAGAUGUGAAAGCCCCGGGCUCAACCUGGGAUGGUCAUUUAGAACUGGCAGACUAGAGUCUUGGAGAGGGGAGUGGAAUUCCAGGUGUAGCGGUGAAAUGCGUAGAUAUCUGGAGGAACAUCAGUGGCGAAGGCGACUCCCCGGCCAAAGACUGACGCUCAUGUGCGAAAGUGUGGGUAGCGAACAGG
This 253-nucleotide ribosomal RNA is filed under the name uncultured bacterium. Its description in RNAcentral is "partial 16S ribosomal RNA". It matches the Rfam family "Bacterial small subunit ribosomal RNA", at positions 524 to 776 of the family's 1533-position model. The record is from RNAcentral.